Arabidopsis thaliana (thale cress) is the source of this 269-nucleotide long non-coding RNA. RefSeq annotates it as other RNA. The transcript has a single exon. NCBI's taxonomy places the organism in Eukaryota, Viridiplantae, Streptophyta, Magnoliopsida, Brassicales, Brassicaceae. The record is from RefSeq.
AUGUCAUGUCCACUGAACAACCCAUUUGGACAUGAGCGUUAAUGGACAUGGGUCUUAGUGGACAUGACCUUCAUUUGUCCAAUAUCAAAAUAGACAUUAAUGGAUUGGGCUUAUGGGCAUGGACAACCCGCUUUGACAGCUCUAUACAUUGUCAUUACCUCUCUAGAAGAUAUAUAUCUUGUCUUCCAAAUUUGCUUCUCAAUUUUCAUGCCACGGUCAUUACUGUUCAUGCUUUGUUAUUGUUUAUGAUCGUUCCUCACCUACAUUUG